Long non-coding RNA from Callithrix jacchus (white-tufted-ear marmoset), 3024 nucleotides. RefSeq lists it as uncharacterized. NCBI's taxonomy places the organism in Eukaryota, Metazoa, Chordata, Mammalia, Primates, Cebidae. The record is from RefSeq and is a predicted model, not a curated record.
CAAGGGGAACUGAGUGAUGAGGUGAUAAUGAGGAGAAAAUGUUCUGCCCUGUUCCGGGCCAGGCUGGUACAAAGCAGGACCACAGGGAUGAGACUGUACCUGGGUGUUUAAAAAUCUUUCUUCAUUUGGGAUAAACAGCAUGGUGAAAAUUCAUAAUCGGAAUGAAAAAGAGGAGGAAGAGGCUGCAGCAGCAAUGAGGACAGACAAAAGCCAUCUCAGAGUCUCACCCGGGCAGCCGCUCCCCACCUCAGGGACCUCUAGGGGAGGCGCCCCCUGAACUGUUCCAGGGCCCCAGAGUUCCAGCCCCGUGGAGGAUAAGCAACUACCCAGCGAUAUUCACCUGAAAUUCCUUAGGGUCCUGGGAACCUCCAGAGUCUUUAUAGGUGCUCCAAUCUAUUCAAUCCCAGAUAUACCAGCUCAUUAAGGACACCCGUCCCACCCCAUUGGACCUUGCAGAGCAGCCAACACACCCCUUCCAGCCUGGAGACUCUGUCCUUAUUAAAAGAUUCGUCACCUCCGGCCUCACUCUCUGUUAGAAGUGACCCUACACGGUUAUCCUGACUACACCCACUGCACUCAAGAUGGACGGACUAACGGCCUAGAUUCACAUCACGUCAAGAAUGCCCCACCAGAAAGACAAUGGAGCAUCAAACACUCAUCCCCCGACUCACUAAAGCUAAGACUUGUGCACUCUUCGCGGUCACCACCCUCACCACCCUAAUCUGUGCUAUAAAUCCCUAUAGCAAACCCCCGAUUGGAACCCACCUACUAUCAAUGGGUCAUCACCGAGGGCUCCACUGGAGGAUAUGUUAGUUCCGUAACCAGGAAGGGAGCCACCCUAGUCAAUUUAACCCUGGAAUACAUUCCAAAGAACCCCAUUACCUUCUCCCUAGACCUCUGUGCCCUCCUGGGCCCCAACCUAAAUUUCAGAACAAGUGGAGGUGUAGCAGGGCGCAGCAGUUUAGGGGUAGAGCAACAACUCCAGACCAUGGGGUUAUAUCUGUGCCUAGGACCCACCCCACAAAAAAGAUAGAACUGUGGAGACUUAAAUGAAUUCUUUUGCCCCCGUUGGGGCUGUGAAACUAUCUCCACUAUAUCAGGAUAUACCAAAAACAUAGAUUCCUUCAUCUCUUUUAACCAAGACUCUCCCCCAUCCUCAUGCUACACUAGGUCUUGUAACCCACUCAGAAUAACUGUAACUACCCCAGAUGGUAGAUGGACAACAGGGUGAAUCUGGGUUCUCAGAGUAUAUAUGAGUGGGUGGGACAUGGGAAACAUCUUUACCAUCCAGCGUAUAACCCUGCCCAGACCCAAACGCCCUAUAGGACCCAUUGCCCAGGUCAUACAACAAGAGGCCCCCUUAAAAAUACAAAGCCCCCUCAUCCAGAUAAUCAAUACCCCCCCUUGACAAUCUUCCCCUACAACUCCAACUCAGCUUGAAGAGGACACAACCCUGUUAACCUUGUUGUCCUCGGCUCACCACCUCCUCAACAAAUCUAACCCAAAUUUAGGAAAAGACUGUUGGCUCUGUCUAAACGCACAACCACCAUUUUAUGCCGGGUUGGCUUCCCAAUUAUCUGCCAACCUGUCCGAUUCUUCAUGCUCCCAAUCCACACUCCAUUUAACCCUGGGAGACAUAGAAAGGUAUAGGCACUGCUACCACUCCCCAAAUUACACCCUUGCAAGUUCUCCCUAUGGGCACUAUUGUAAUGUCUCCCACGAUGUAACAUGUAAUAGUAAAAACCUUUACCAUCAGGACCCAGAUACCACUUGGUUAGCCCGCACUUUUAGCCUCACCAACUGCAUUUCCACAUACCAGUUCAGCAGCUCCACUCCCAUACUCUGCACCCUGGUACACAUCCUCCCCAGAGUUGACAUUUAUGAUGGCCAACAGGGACUUAACCUCCUGACCCCAUCGGAUAUUAUUACUGCUCGAUAAAAGCGAGUCCCUAUCGUCAUCCCCCUACUGGUUGGAUUAAGGCACUGCUGGCUCCACUGUAGUUAGAAUAUCAGCUCUAAUAACUAGGGACCAAAAUUUUAAAACUCUCUCUCGGCACAUAGAUACUGACCUAAGCCACUUAGAAAACUCCAUUUCCCAACUCACUGAUCAGGUUGAGUCUUUAGCUGAAAUAGUCCUCCAAAAUAGGCAAAGACUAGAUUUACUAUUCUUAAAGCAAGGGGGGUUAUGUGCCGCCCUUAACAAACAAUGUUGCAUCUAUGCUAAUAGGUCAGGCCUCAUCCAAGAGAGCUUCUCCCUGGUCAGACAGAAUCUCAAAACCAGAAAACAACUUCGAGAAGCUUCGGAAAGUUAGUAUCAAAAAAUGUUUUCCAGGUCCCGUUGGCUCACUUCCCUCCUCACCGGCCUGGUGGGACAUCUGGCCCUACUCUUACUGGGUCUCAUGUUUGGCCCCUGCCUCCUAAACCAACUGCUCAAGUUCAUAAAAUCUGGGGUAGACUCCAUAAAAUUAAUAAUAUUAAGGUCUCAAUAUGAGUCCUUAGAACAAACAAACAAUACUAACCAGUUAGAGGAAUCAAUGAUUUAAUUCCUGUAAAUAAAACAAGGGGGGAAUGUGACAUGGUAAAAAGCCCCAUAAACUGCAUACCUCAACCAUACCUCAGCUUUCUGUUGAAACUGCUCUCUAUAACCCAAAUGUGAAUAAGUAAUAAAGGACUGUGAUCCCCACCCUACCCAGACAAUGUGUAAAUGAAUGCUAAUCUUGGCUUUUGUGAACCACUUAAGUAACAAUCAGAAUGUAAAAAAGUCCCCUGGCCCUCGGAAUGUCCAGAGCCCCUCACGCUCAUCUUCGCCCAGAAACCCACUGGAGUGUCCGGAAUCCCCUCACCCUCACCUCAUUUCCGCCCAGAAGGUGAUUUGCAGAAUCCACUAGCCCUCGGAAUGUCUGGAGCCCCUCACCCCCACCCCCGCCCCUCACCCUCACUCCCAAGAUAAUUUUUACCAGUAUAAAAGGUCUUAGCACCCUCCUUUCAGGGACACGGGUUGGAGAGACGUGAGUCCUCCUUAGC